This 777-nucleotide small RNA is filed under the name Pan troglodytes (chimpanzee). Its description in RNAcentral is "processed transcript". The record is from RNAcentral. Lineage: Eukaryota; Metazoa; Chordata; Mammalia; Primates; Hominidae.
GAGAAGUGACUCACCUGCCCACUUACCUCUACUCAGAUCUGAUCUCCAGAAGUUGUAGAAUUCUGAGAAGAUCACACGCAGUCAAUUUAAUUGCUUGGAAUAUGAUUUUUGCUCUUUGGCAUUGAUUACAUAGGAGUGAAAAGGCUCUCAGUGUCUGAGUUAAAUGAAAUCCUGGAAGAAAUCGAGACUGCCAUUAAGGAGUACUCUGAGGAGCUGGUGCAGCAGUUGGCUUUACGAGAUGAACUGGAGUUUGAAAAGGAAGUGAAAAACAGCUUUAUUUCUGUUCUUAUUGAAGUGCAAAACAAACAGAAAGAGCACAAAGAAACAGCAAAAAAGAAAAAGAAACUAAAAAAUGGCAGCUCUCAGAAUGGGAAGAAUGAGAGAAGUCAUAUGCCCGGCACAUAUUUGACUACAGUCAUUCCUUAUGAGAAAAAAAACGGACCACCGUCUGUUGAAGAUCUUCAAAUAUUAACAAAAAUUCUUCGUGCCAUGAAGGAGGACAGUGAAAAAGUUCCGAGCUUGUUAACUGAUUAUAUUCUGAAAGUUCUGUGUCCUACAUAGAGCAGCAACUUUAUCUGCGGUGGGCUCCAAGCUAGAUUUCCUACAGCAUUAUUCUGAGAGCUGGCUACCAUUACCCUUCUUGCUAUUGGAAACUCAGCACAUUUGAACUUGGGUUUGAUUCAGUACUAACAGAUCUUGACUACACUAAUUCUUUAUAUUAUAGAACCAACGGAAAUAUGGGCACUAUUUUGAAUUCUAGAGAUGGUUUUUGUUAAA